GGAAAAGACAGAGAGGUAAAUAUGAGAUUUAUGGAGCUGGAAUGAGCAAGCCUUGGGAACCAAAUUGGUGCACAAGGACUAAGGUCGACGUGACCUGCCUAAGGUCACAGAGGUGGUGAGUGGUGGAGUUGGAAUCCACAUGAAUCUUCUCUAGGAACCCCGGCCCAACUACAGACAUGCCCAGAUGAGCACACCAGUGCCUGGAGAGGAAAAAUCUGGAGAGGCCUUCCACAUGGCGAAGAGAAAGGGAAAAGAGUUUUGAUUUCUGUGCCUAUUAACCACUCUGACAGAAGGUUUUGUGAAGAAUGACGUUGAAGCUCUUGGUAGAAGUUAGAAAAAACAGUCUAGUUACAAGAACAGCAGAAAAAGACCUGAACUUCAGAGUGGACCACAAACCAAUAGGAAUUAAGAACACAGCUCUCUUUUCAAAAGCCAAUGCAAAAUGAGGAUGUGUUUAUGUAAGAGCAGCUGUUGUUACCCUGGGCUUAUGCUCGACAUUCUUUCAUAUGUCACGGUCAGACCUAGGAAAUUCCCUGGGAAGUCCCCUCCCUCCCAGUGCCUGCAGUUUCUCCCUUGGAGUAUAAUGCUGUUGGAUCUUGAGAGAUCUUUUGAUCUUCAGGAAGCUGUUAUCACAAAAUGGAUCUUCCUGGAGUGAGGAGACAGCGUGGUACACCGGGAGACAAAGGCAGUGGACUGCGGAAUGGGAAUCUGGGUCCCAAUGUCAGUUCUCCCACCACCUGCCUGUGGCUUUAGGAAAGGCCUGUUCCUUCCCUUGCCUCCAUGGCUUCAUCUGUCCAAUGGAGUGACAUGGAGAUGAUGAAAGUGUAAGUACCUGCCAUCAUGCUUGUAAGUGCUCAGGAAAUGCUUCCCUCCUGCCUGCCCUCAGGUUUCAGCCUGUAAAGUGAAGGAUGGAACCAGCACACCUCCGAGGCCCCUUCCAUUCUGACACUUUGUGACUCUGUUGGCAACACCUUAAGAAAUUUCCAGCUAACACUCCAGUGAGCCUUAUUCUACAAGAUUCCAUCCACUCAUGACAGCAUUGGGAUUUUGACUUUGUGUUUUAAUUUUUACUUUCCCUUAUCCUGAUUUUUAAUUUAUAUUUUCUAUUUUAUGGCUUUUGCCUUUUUAAGUUGUCACAAAUCCUUUGGGGAAUAAGACAAAAGUAUAACAAAUUGUA
This is a long non-coding RNA of Equus quagga, 1177 nucleotides long. RefSeq lists it as uncharacterized. The transcript has 3 exons. Lineage: Eukaryota; Metazoa; Chordata; Mammalia; Perissodactyla; Equidae. The record is from RefSeq and is a predicted model, not a curated record.